GCAAGUCGAGCGAGAAAGCACUUCGGUGCGAGUACAGCGGCGGACGGGUGAGUAACGCGUAGGAAUCUACCUGGUAGUGGGGGACAACAUGGUGAAAACCAUGCUAAUACCGCAUACGCCCUAUGGGGGAAAGCGGGGGAUCUUCGGACCUCGUGCUAUUGGAUGAGCCUGCGUCGGAUUAGCUAGUUGGUGGGGUAAAAGCUCACCAAGGCGACGAUCCGUAGCUGGUCUGAGAGGAUGAUC
Molecule: ribosomal RNA, 243 nt
Filed under: uncultured bacterium
Lineage: Bacteria
Description: partial 16S ribosomal RNA
Rfam family: Bacterial small subunit ribosomal RNA
Source: RNAcentral